GGGGUUGUUGCUCAGUGGUAGAGUGCUCACCUAGCAUGUGUGAGGCACUGGGUUCGAUCCCCAGCACCA
RNAcentral lists this transfer RNA (69 nucleotides) under Marmota monax (woodchuck). It matches the Rfam family "tRNA". From Rfam's summary of the family: Transfer RNA (tRNA) molecules are approximately 80 nucleotides in length. Lineage: Eukaryota; Metazoa; Chordata; Mammalia; Rodentia; Sciuridae. The record is from Rfam by way of RNAcentral. RNAcentral also lists the same sequence under 1 other name.